AAGACCCUGCACUGGCCAAGCAGCGGCAUCACCAAGGGCACAAAUGGUGUGCCCUUCAAUCUGCUUGGUAACCUCUUGAAGCAUGUCAAUUUCUUCCAGCUUUGCAUUUCCAACUUUCAUUCUUUCCAUUAUCAUCCACAGCCAUCCUGUACCUUCUCUGCAGGGAGUGCACUGUCCACAGCUUUCAUGCUUGUAAAAAUAAGAGAGCCUUGCAAUAGCAUCCACAAUAUCAGUUGAUUUAUCCAUAACAAUUACAGCUGCAGUGCCCAAUCCAGAUUGAACAGCCUUUAAUGCAUCAUAAUCCAUAAGUACAUCAUCACAUAUAUGCUUGGGA
Molecule: unclassified non-coding RNA, 334 nt
Filed under: Hevea brasiliensis (rubber tree)
Lineage: Eukaryota; Viridiplantae; Streptophyta; Magnoliopsida; Malpighiales; Euphorbiaceae
Source: RNAcentral